AUUGAACGCUGGCGGCAGGCCUAACACAUGCAAGUCGAGCGAUCGGCGGACGGGUGAGUAAUAUCUGGGAAACUGCCUGAUGGAGGGGGAUAACUACUGGAAACGGUAGCUAAUACCGCAUACCAUCAGAUGUGCCCAGAUGGGAUUAGCUCGUAGGUGGGGUAAUGGCUCACCUAGGCGACGAUCCCUCGCUGUCUGAGAGGAUGACCAGCCACACUGGAACUGAGACACGGUCCAGAUUCCUACGGGAGGCAGCAGUGGGGAAUAUUGCACAAUGGGCGCAAGCCUGAUGCAGCCAUGCCGCGUGUGUGAAGAAGGCCUUCGGUUUGUAAAGCACUUUCAGCAGGGAGGCGUUACCCGCAGAGGAAGCACCGGCUACCUCCGUGGCAGCAGCCGCGGUAAUAC
This 405-nucleotide ribosomal RNA is filed under the name uncultured bacterium. RNAcentral's name for it is "partial 16S ribosomal RNA". It matches the Rfam family "Bacterial small subunit ribosomal RNA", at positions 30 to 526 of the family's 1533-position model. The record is from RNAcentral.